This 926-nucleotide ribosomal RNA is filed under the name uncultured Bacteroidota bacterium. Its description in RNAcentral is "bacterial SSU rRNA". It matches the Rfam family "Bacterial small subunit ribosomal RNA", at positions 1 to 917 of the family's 1533-position model. Lineage: Bacteria; Pseudomonadati; Bacteroidota. The record is from RNAcentral.
UGGAUCCAGACUUUGAUUCUGGCUCAGGAUGAACGCUAGCUACAGGCUUAACACAUGCAAGUCGAGGGGAAACGACAUCGAAAGCUUGCUUUUGAUGGGCGUCGACCGGCGCACGGGUGAGUAACGCGUAUCCAACCUGCCCAUCACUUGGGGAUAACCUUGCGAAAGUAAGACUAAUACCCAAUGACGUCUCUAGAAGACAUCUGAAAGAGAUUAAAGAUUUAUCGGUGAUGGAUGGGGAUGCGUCUGAUUAGCUUGUUGGCGGGGUAACGGCCCACCAAGGCAACGAUCAGUAGGGGUUCUGAGAGGAAGGUCCCCCACAUUGGGACUGAGACACGGUCCAAACUCCUACGGGAGGCAGCAGUGAGGAAUAUUGGUCGAUGGGCGAGAGCCUGAACCAGCCAAGUAGCGUGCAGGAUGACGGCCCUAUGGGUUGUAAACUGCUUUUAUAAGGGAAUAAAGUGAGUCUCGUGAGACUUUUUGCAUGUACCUUAUGAAUAAGGACCGGCUAAUUCCGUGCCAGCAGCCGCGGUAAUACGGAAGGUCCGGGCGUUAUCCGGAUUUAUUGGGUUUAAAGGGAGCGUAGGCCGGAGAUUAAGCGUGUUGUGAAAUGUAGACGCUCAACGUCUGCACUGCAGCGCGAACUGGUUUCCUUGAGUACGCACAAAGUGGGCGGAAUUCGUGGUGUAGCGGUGAAAUGCUUAGAUAUCACGAGGAACUCCGAUUGCGAAGGCAGCUCACUGGAGCGCAACUGACGCUGAAGCUCGAAAGUGCGGGUAUCGAACAGGAUUAGAUACCCUGGUAGUCCGCACGGUAAACGAUGGAUGCCCGCUGUUGGUCUGAAUAGGUCAGCGGCCAAGCGAAAGCAUUAAGCAUCCCACCUGGGGAGUACGCCGGCAACGGUGCAACUCAAAGGAAUUGACGGA